RNAcentral lists this ribosomal RNA (274 nucleotides) under uncultured bacterium. RNAcentral describes it as "partial 16S ribosomal RNA". It matches the Rfam family "Bacterial small subunit ribosomal RNA", at positions 524 to 794 of the family's 1533-position model. The record is from RNAcentral.
UACAGAGGGGGCAAGCGUUAUUCGGAAUUAUUGGGCGUAAAGGGCGCGUAGGCGGUUUUUUAAGUUCGGAUGUGCAAUCCCCGACGCUCAACUUGGGAACUGCAUCCGAGACUGGAAGGCUAGAGUACUGGAGAGGUUGGUGGAAUUCCACGUGUAGCGGUGAAAUGCGUAGAGAUGUGGAGGAACACCAGUGGCGAAGGCGGCCAACUGGACACAUAUUGACGCUGAGGCUCGAAAGCAUGGGGAGCCAACAGGAUUAGAUACCCCCUGUAGU